AGCGAACAUUGGCGGUAGGCUUAACACAUGCAAGUCGAGCGAGGCGUAAUAGUCGAGCGGCGAACGGGUGCGUAAUACAUGGGAAUCUACCCUGAAGUGGGGGAUAACGUUCAGAAAUGGACGCUAAUACCGCAUAAUCCACAUUGGGAAAGCGUUGCAGCGCUUUAGGAUGAGCCCAUGGCUGAUUAGCUAGUUGGUGAGGUAAUGGCUCACCAAGGCGACGAUCAGUAGCUGGUCUGAGAGGAUGACCAGCCACACUGGAACUGAGACACGGUCCAGACUCCUACGGGAGGCAGCAGUGGGGAAUCUUGCGCAAUGGGGGCAACCCUGACGCAGCCAUACCGCGUGAGUGAUGAAGGUCUUCGGAUUGUAAAGCUCUUUUAGCAGGGACGAUAAUGACGGUACCUGCAGAAAAAGCCCCGGCCAACUUCGUGCCAGCAGCCGCCGCAG
This 450-nucleotide ribosomal RNA is filed under the name uncultured bacterium. RNAcentral describes it as "partial 16S ribosomal RNA". It matches the Rfam family "Bacterial small subunit ribosomal RNA", at positions 29 to 523 of the family's 1533-position model. The record is from RNAcentral.